AAUAAUGAGUUCAAUUGGUUCAAAAGGCAACUACAUGAACUCUUGAUAAAGGCAGGACAAUGAAAAAUGUAAAGAAAACUGAUGAGUGAGGGCUCUUGGCCACUUCUAACCCAUCUAAUAGAAAACAUAGAAUCACAAAAAUCUAAGAUAAUGUUUAUGCCUCAACUACAAAAACAGAAACUCUAUGCUUGUUGCUGCUCAGGAAUCAUCGAUGCCUUGAAAGCUGAGACACAAUCAGAAAAUAGUAUUAUUCAACCUUGUAAUCAUCCAUGAUAGCAAGCAGAUACACAUAAACAGCCCUUUGGAAACAG
This 311-nucleotide unclassified non-coding RNA is filed under the name Hevea brasiliensis (rubber tree). The record is from RNAcentral. Lineage: Eukaryota; Viridiplantae; Streptophyta; Magnoliopsida; Malpighiales; Euphorbiaceae.